This 207-nucleotide ribosomal RNA is filed under the name uncultured bacterium. RNAcentral's name for it is "partial 16S ribosomal RNA". It matches the Rfam family "Bacterial small subunit ribosomal RNA", at positions 568 to 774 of the family's 1533-position model. The record is from RNAcentral.
UGCGUAGGCGGCUGAUUAAGUCGGAUGUGAAAUCCCCGAGCUUAACUUGGGAAUUGCAUUCGAUACUGGGAAGCUAGAGUAUGGGAGAGGAUGGUAGAAUUCCAGGUGUAGCGGUGAAAUGCGUAGAGAUCUGGAGGAAUACCGAUGGCGAAGGCAGCCAUCUGGCCUAAUACUGACGCUGAGGUACGAAAGCAGUGGGAGCAAACA